UACGUAGGGUGCAAGCGUUGUCCGGAAUUAUUGGGCGUAAAGAGCGUGUAGGCGGCUCGACAAGUCUGCUGUGAAAGUCUAGGGCUCAACCCUGGAAUGCCGGUGGAUACUGUCGAGCUAGAGUCCGGAAGGGGCGAGUGGAACUCCUGGUGUAGCGGUGAAAUGCGCAGAUAUCAGGAAGAACACCAAUGGCGAAGGCAGCUCGCUGGGACGUGACUGACGCUGAGACGCGAAAGCGUGGGGAGCGAACAGG
This 253-nucleotide ribosomal RNA is filed under the name uncultured bacterium. Its description in RNAcentral is "partial 16S ribosomal RNA". It matches the Rfam family "Bacterial small subunit ribosomal RNA", at positions 524 to 776 of the family's 1533-position model. The record is from RNAcentral.